RNAcentral lists this transfer RNA (77 nucleotides) under Bacillota bacterium. RNAcentral describes it as "tRNA-Met". It matches the Rfam family "tRNA". From Rfam's summary of the family: Transfer RNA (tRNA) molecules are approximately 80 nucleotides in length. Their secondary structure includes four short double-helical elements and three loops (D, anti-codon, and T loops). The record is from RNAcentral. Lineage: Bacteria; Bacillati; Bacillota. RNAcentral also lists the same sequence under 1 other name.
GGCGGCGUAGCUCAGAUGGUUAGAGCACACGGUUCAUACCCGUGGUGUCCGGGGUUCAAAUCCCUGCGCCGCUACCA